This 377-nucleotide ribosomal RNA is filed under the name uncultured Bacteroidota bacterium. Its description in RNAcentral is "bacterial SSU rRNA". It matches the Rfam family "Bacterial small subunit ribosomal RNA", at positions 521 to 896 of the family's 1533-position model. Lineage: Bacteria; Pseudomonadati; Bacteroidota. The record is from RNAcentral.
UAAUACGGAGGGUGCAAGCGUUGUUCGGAUUCACUGGGUAUAAAGGGUGCGUAGGCGGCCUUUUAAGUCAGAGGUGAAAUAUGACGGCUCAACCGUCAAACUGCCUCUGAAACUGAAAGGCUUGAGUUCGAGAGAGGAAGGUGGAAUUCCAGGUGUAGCGGUGAAAUGCGUAAAUAUCUGGAGGAACACCAGUGGCGAAGGCGGCCUUCUGGCUCGAAACUGACGCUCAGGCACGAAAGCAUGGGGAGCGAACGGGAUUAGAUACCCCGGUAGUCCAUGCCGUAAACGAUGGAUACUAGGUGUUGGAGGAGUCUACCCCUUCAGUGCCGCAGCUAACGCAUUAAGUAUCCCACCUGGGGAGUACGAUCGCAAGGUUG